RNAcentral lists this ribosomal RNA (252 nucleotides) under uncultured bacterium. RNAcentral's name for it is "partial 16S ribosomal RNA". It matches the Rfam family "Bacterial small subunit ribosomal RNA", at positions 524 to 776 of the family's 1533-position model. The record is from RNAcentral.
UACGGGGGGGGCAAGCGUUGUUCGGAAUUACUGGGCGUAAGGGCUCGUAGGCGGCCAACUAAGUCAGACGUGAAAUCCCCAGGCUUAACCUGGGAACUGCGUCUGAUACUGGAUGGCUUGAAUUCGGGAGAGGGAUGCAGAAUUCCAGGUGUAGCGGUGAAAUGCGUAGAUAUCUGGAGGAAUACCGGUGGCGAAGGCGGCAUCCUGGACCGAGAUUGACGCUGAUGAGCGAAAGCUAGGGGAGCAAACGGG